CCUACGGGUGGCAGCAGUGAGGAAUAUUGGUCAAUGGACGCGAGCCUGAACCAGCCAAGUAGCGUGAAGGAUGACUGCCCUACGGGUUGUAAACUUCUUUUAUAAGGGAAUAAAAUGAGGCACGUGUGGGUUUUUGUAUGUACUUUAUGAAUAAGGAUCGGCUAACUCCGUGCCAGCAGCCGCGGUAAUACGGAGGAUCCGAGCUUUAUCCGGAUUUAUUGGGUUUAAAGGGAGCGUAGAUGGAUUGUUAAGUCAGUUGUGAAAGUUUGCGGCUCAACCGUAAAAUUGCAGUUGAUACUGGCAGUCUUGAGUACAGUAGAGGUAGGCGGAAUUCGUGGUGUAGCGGUGAAAUGCUUAGAUAUCACGAAGAACUCCGAUUGCGAAGGCAGCUUACUAAACUGCCACUGACAUUGAUGCUCGAAAGUGUGGGUAUCAAACAGGAUUAGAUACCCCUGUAGUC
This 460-nucleotide ribosomal RNA is filed under the name uncultured bacterium. RNAcentral describes it as "partial 16S ribosomal RNA". It matches the Rfam family "Bacterial small subunit ribosomal RNA", at positions 338 to 795 of the family's 1533-position model. The record is from RNAcentral.